This 411-nucleotide ribosomal RNA is filed under the name uncultured bacterium. RNAcentral's name for it is "partial 16S ribosomal RNA". It matches the Rfam family "Bacterial small subunit ribosomal RNA", at positions 355 to 755 of the family's 1533-position model. The record is from RNAcentral.
UGGGGAAUUUUGGACAAUGGGCGCAAGCCUGAUCCAGCCAUGCCGCGUGCGGGAAGAAGGCCUUCGGGUUGUAAACCGCUUUGUCAGGGGAGAAAUCUUCUGAGUUAAUACCUCGGGAGGAUGACGGUACCUGAAGAAUAAGCACCGGCUAACUACGUGCCAGCAGCCGCGGUAAUACGUAGGGUGCAAGCGUUAAAUCGGAAUUACUGGGCGUAAAGCGUGCGCAAGGCGGUUUUGUAAGACAGAGGUGAAAUCCCCGGGCUCAACCUGGGAACUGCCUUUGUGACUGCAAGGCUUGAGUGCGGCAGAGGGGGGAUGGAAUUCCGCGUGUAGCAGUGAAAAUGCGUAGAUAUGCGGAGGAACACCGAUGGCGAAGGCAAUCCCCUGGGCCUGCACUGACGCUCAUGCACG